Long non-coding RNA from Drosophila yakuba, 921 nucleotides. RefSeq lists it as uncharacterized. The record is from RefSeq and is a predicted model, not a curated record. NCBI's taxonomy places the organism in Eukaryota, Metazoa, Arthropoda, Insecta, Diptera, Drosophilidae. The transcript has 2 exons.
UCAUCGCUGGGAGAUCUGCUGGCCAAGAAAGGUCCGCACAUUUUCGUGCAAACUUUGUUAACUAUUUAAGACAUAAUUUAGCAAAUUAUUUUCCUCCACGCUGCUGCUCGGGGGCGUGGCGGCUGGGAGGCGGCUCAUAAGUAAAUAUUAUGCAAAUGAGAGCUUGGGGACCAGUCCCCACCCCUCCUACCACCACCCUACCCUUGACAACAAGGGGCAAACUCAGCCUGCGAGAGCUUAGCUGCAGUGAAAGUUACUUUUUUUGAGCGCAGGAUGGGGGAGCAGGAGCAGCUGGCUUGGCGCCAUGUCCUUGCCAUGGCUGUUAGUUUUUUAAUCCUUUGCAGUUAUUAAUUUAAUCGCACAGCUGCAUUUCAGUAGCGUGUGCCGCAUGAAAAAGGAUGGUGCACAGUGCAUGAGGCUGGGGGUAUAAAGUAAGUCCUGGGAAAAUCGCGGAGAGGGACGCAAAGUUGGUGGCAACUUUUUGGCUGCCAGCCGUGACAGUCAGUCCGCUGGAUGGCUUGACAAACGCUUGACACAUAAAUCCGACGUUGGCUUUAAUUAGUCACUGGAUUUGUUGUCAAAAGUUGUAACUUUCACUUAAAUUAUUCAUGUAGCCGCUGUCACAUGACGCGUCGCGUCCAAAAAUCAUGGCCACCAAAAUGGGUAAAUCGCACUAUCUGUUUACGUUUCUUGGAAUUAUCAUCGAUAGGCGGCAAUUAAAAUUCAAGUCCAGAAGCCAAUGAAAUCAUCCUCAGUUUUCAUUAAGCCAAAGUUGGAUAAACAAAGUGUGCACGUGAAGAAAAUUCUCGGAAUGAAAUGGUUUUAAAAUUAUCAAAGAACAUCUAGAUUUAUUUAAAAAAAGAUGUACACAAUGCUGAAGCUAAAUUUAAAUAAUUCGAUUUCACUUUAAUUCCACAUGAA